CUUUCCACAGAGUAAACAUGUACCAUCCAAUAAUACUCUGCUUCGUCGUAAUAUCUAUUUGCGAAUUAAAAGGUAAGAAAAUCUUUAACUUCUCAUUCAUUUUGUAUAAUGAUCAUAAAUAUGAUUUAUAUGAACUAGUAGGAAGCCUGUUGUUUAGUGGUUGUAGUUUUUUGGUGUUGUUCAUAGGUGUUUCUCGUUUCUCGGGCUGUAUAAACAUUAGACCAUUGGUUUUCCUGGUUGAAUUGCUUAACACUUGUCAUUUUGACGCCCUCUAUAGAUUGCUUUUCGUUGUCAAAUUUUUAUACAUCGUGACUUGGAUGAAGAGUUGUCUCAUUGGCACUCAUGCCACAUCUUUUUUUUUAAGUUUGUCAAUAUCAUAAUUCAACUUUUGGGGGUUUUUUUGUAUAGCAAGCAGUAGUAGCCUGUAAUUCACUGGUUUUAUUUUUUUUUUAUUGUACAUCAUGUUUUUUCGUAUACCGUUUUGUAUGUACUUAGUAAAUCAUUCCGUAUCUUUUUCGUUUGAAUUUAUUUUUCUUUUGUCGUUUCAACGCUUGUUAUAGUUAACUUUAUGGUUUGUUUUUGUCAAAUGUUUUAUUAACUUAAUCCUCAUUUGGCCUCUGGUAAAGAAUGUCAUUAUUAAUCCUACCACGUCUUCUUAUUGUUUAUUGUUUAUCCGCAGAAAUCCAUUUUAAGUAUUUUUGUGACACCAUGCAGCCUACUCUUGGUUUUCCUAGGUUGUGUAACCACAUGGUAAAUGCACACUCACUUUCAUAAACAUGUGUGAUUUAUAAUUGAAAAGAGUAAAUCAAAAGUUUGAUGUAGAAAAAAAAAUUACUUUAAAAAUGUUCAGUAUUACAAUCCCUUCACAGUUAUAUUUUGAUCUGAAUAUCUCCUUUAAUUCUCAAGAGCCAAGUCAUAAAAAAAAAUCAAUCUAGACAGGGUUAUUUUCUAAAAGGGAGUAAUUGAUAAAUCUGAGUAAAUAGGGAUUAAUUAAUGAGAUGUGUUAUUGAAGCAAAUAAAAAUUACACUUUUGAUAAAUUGUGUAUGAGUAACAAGAAUAUCACUAGGUGUUGAUAAUUUUGUAGGAAAAGAUUUAUGUCUAGUGGAAGGAAUGGUAAUAAUAAGAUAGAUUGGGGGCCUAAAUGAAAAAAAAAUUGGAGUUUUUAAAUAGUUGUCAAAAUAUAAUUUAUAUCAUGUUUUUUUCAAAAACUUUCAAACUUCAGGUUUUGCAGAUUUUGUAUAGAUUAUAUAUGGAAAACCUAGUUUUGUAUGAUAAGAGAAAACUAAACCAUAGACAAUGGGGUCAACGUACUCAUGUGUUGGUUAUAUUAAUAUGAAAAAUUUUACGCAUGCAUUUGAAAAUGUCUGUACCAAAUCAGGAAUAUGAAAGUUUUGUCAUUUGAUUUUGCCAUGUGGUUAGGGACUUUCCGAUUGAAUUUUCCUCGGAGUUCAGUAUUUUUGUGAUUUUACCUUUUACAUACUACUCACUAAAUUUGCACAUUCCAUUAGAUUUAGGCCGAUUCUUAUCUGCUCUUUCAAACUUCUAGAUUGAGGGGGACACCAUGGCAAUAUUCACUAGUUAAUUUUGGAAAGGAAUUGCAUAUCCCAUUGACAUGUAAGAUAUGAGUUUGGUGGGAAACUUUUGUUAAUCUAUUUUAUAUUGUAGACCGCAAUUCUUCGUGCUUUGAAAACAUUUACAACAUAACUUCCAAUGGAUAAAUCUAAUUAUUAGUAUACAAGCAAAUCUAAAUAAGCUUUAUCACUACUAGGUUUUGUCUAUGAACCGCUCCCUAAAACAAGUAGUGUUUUUGAACAGUUACUGAUUGUAUAAUCCCAACGGAUUCACAAUUUACUUGAGUUAUUUCGCGAUAAAAGAACUGAAUAUUUUCGCUGAUGCAAUCUGCAAUCCAAACCAUGAUUAUUUUUUUUCUUUUAUUUACUUUAUAAUUAAAAAGCUAAAAUUGAUUUAGUACAUUUGUGAUACCAAACAAAUACUAAUGAUCAUUAUUCUUAAAAACAAUUUACAGUGAAAUACAAUAUCAUAAUUAUAUGACAAACAACUUAACUGUUAAUCGUUAAUUUGUUCUCAUCUCUAAUUGAUUUUAGAAAAUUCAAAUGUUAAAAUGGAAAACGUAUAGAAUAUAAAAUUCCUAAAGGGACAUUAAAUGGAGGAUAUUAUAACAUAAUUCUUUACGGACAGUUAUGAACACUUCUUUUAAAAUUGUCUUACUUUUUUACACAUUUAAUGACAAUGGUGAGUAAAUUCAAACUCUAAGGUUAUUGCAUGAAUAUUGGUGAAUAUUGUUCCGAGUAGAUAUUUUUUAUUGCACGAGGUUCUGAUUUUAAUAUAUAUAUAUAUAUAUAUAUAUAUAUAAAUUACAAGGGUUAAUUUACACCAAAAUCCAUACAAAAACACUUUUAUUGUAAAUCUAAACAAAUAAAAGAACAUAUAUAAAAAAGUAGAUGUGGUAUGAUUGCCAAUGAGAAAACUUUUACAAGAGACCACAUGACACAGAAAUUAACACCUUUAGGUCACCGUGCGGCCUUCAACAAUGAGCAAGCCCAUACCGCAGAUGCAGCUAUAAAAGGCCCCGAAAUGACAAUUUGUUUGUCACUGAAAACGCCAUCAAUUUGAAAAUUUGUUUGAAUUAGUGCAAUGUAAUAUAUUAUGGCAAAUUUAAAAUUAAAUAUGUUCUGUGUUAAAUAUGUUUUUGCUAUACAUUAUUCUUAUGUUCAAUGCAUUCGAGAUUGUCCAAAGUCAUUUAUAUAACGGCCCAUUUUAGAUGUUUAAAAUGUUCAGGUUAUCUGAAAUUUUGACUUGUUCCCUUUUCUGAGAAUAUAAAUACAUUUGUAAACAUACAUUUAAUGGGUUUAAGAAAUCAGUAAUGAGUAGUGAUAUCUAUAAAACACAAAUGUUUGAUUAUAUUUGCAGCGUAAAUCACAACAAAUUUCAGAAUAAUUUAGAUGCUUCUUUUACCAGGUCGUUGAUUUAUACAUACAUUUAUAUGUUCAGAAGUGGAGUAUAUAUACUUAAAUAACUGUUUUUCCGGACCUAAGUUUGUUUUUAGGUGUCACGCCACCAAUUACUCCCUCCAAUUUAGAACGUAUAUGACAGUAGGCCUACUCGGACAAAAAAUAGUGCAUUUGAUGUCAUUGUUUAGCUAAACUAUUAACCAACAAAUUGGCAGAAAUGAAACUUUUGGUAAAAGAGAAAUAUAUUAAUAUAAAAAAGAAGAUGUGGUAUGAUUGCCAAUGAGACAACUGUCCACAAGAGACCAAAAUGACACAGACAUUAACAACUAUAGGUUACCGUACGGUCUUCAACAAUGAGCAACGCCCAUACCGCAUAGUCAGCUAUAAAAGGCCCCGAUAUGACAAUGUAAAACAAUUCAAACGAGAAAACUAACGGCCUUAUUUAUAUAAAAAAAAAAUGAACGAAAAACAAAUAUUUAACACAUAAACAAACGACAACCACCGAAUUACAGGCUCCUGACUUGGGACAGGCACAUACAUAAAUAAUGUGGCGGGGUUAAACAUGUUGGGAUCCCAACCCUCCCCAUAACCUGGGACAGUGGUAUUACAGUACAACAUAUAUAUAUAAGAAGACCAUUUUGAGCUUAAAUUAACUUGUUUAUGAGUUUGCAUUCAAAAUUGAGGAUAAAUGCACUCCAUAGUAUACUAAUUUAAGAUUUCCAGAAAACCAGGGGUUAUUUUCGGAAGACCUCUUCUUUCUUAUAUGAUUUCAAACAUCUGUUGAAAAUUGGCAUGUAGAAAGCUGAUACAUGUACAAUUCAUGAUAUACCUGGUUUCUAUGAAGUUAAACUUAAGGUAAAAUAUUUAGAAAGCUGUGAAAAUUGCAAAAUUUGGUUGAACAGAUAGGUCCAUUCAAUUGGUGGUCUGACACCUAUAUAUCUGUCUUGUUUUACUAACGUCAUUCCGUCUUGCUGUUCAAUAUAGUUUCCUUCGACUGUUUUAUUAAUUGUUGAUUUCUGGGCCUUUUAUAGCUUACUAUGCGGAAAGGGAUGUGCUCAUUGUUGAAGGUCUUUAGGUGAAUUAUAGUUGUUAAUUCUGUGUCAGUUGGUCUCUUGUGAAGAGUUGUCUCAUUGGCAAUUAUACCACAUCUUUGUUUUUUAUAUCAACAUAUAUAUCAGAAUGAAAAAUCGUGUACACAAGACACGCCACGCCGUUCGUCUACAAGAGACUAGUCAGUGGCUCUCGAAUCUAAAAAGAUAAAAGGACAAAUAAAGUAUUGAGUUUAAGAGAAUUGGUGGUCCAAAAUUCUGUAAGAUUCAAUCAAAUACAGCUAAGGUAAUAUAUUCCUGCGUAUAAACUAGUAUUUCGUGAAAAAGAGUUUUUUUAUCACAUUUCAUCAUAAUUAUGACCAUAUCAAUGAUAGUUCACAUCAAAACACAUAUUCUGACUAGUCAGAUUGUGAUGGUGAUAGCCUCGCAGAGUAUACCUCCACUUUCAGUGGCAUAACCCCACUACCUCAAUUAUUAUUCGAAUUAAUCAACAAUCAAUAAUUAUUUGUGAUUGUUAUAAAUUGAAAGAAUGUGUAUGCCUUUAUACUAGUUUUUUAUGGGAUAUGGGGUAUGGGGUAUAUAUUUUAAUUGUGAGAACAAUUGUGAAGUAAGAAGUUUAACAACCUGUUUAUUUUAAGAAAGCUUACACCAUAGGCUUUCAUUUCAAACCACACAUGAAUAUGUUCUUUACUCUUGCAUAUGGUAGACCUUAAUAAGUGUAUUGUCUUAUAUUUAUAGUACCUCAUGUCGGUCAAAUUGAAUCUUUUUUCGUGACUCCGCAUCCAACAAUGCACAUUGGAAUCGAAAUAACAGCUGUGCAAAGUUUCGUGCUUUAACAAAAAGUAAUUAUUUUUUCUCAUAUCCGCCGUAAUAUACAUGAUUGAGCUCAAAAAUGCCAAUGAAUAACAUAUUUUGGUCGAUUUCACAGUUAGUGCUUCUUCUGAUUUAUAAUUGGUUAUCUAGAACAAGUAAUUGCAUGUACUUAAGAUGAAAGAAACAAAAUCAAGAAUUGAAAUUGUUACUAUAAGUCAGAAGAGCGUUAGCUACGGAGUAAAAUAAGGUAAAAAAUUGAUAGAUUAUGGAGCUCCUUUUCCAGAUAUUUAAGUUAAAAAAAAAAAGAAAUCUACAAUCUGGCUAAAUUUUUGUACAUUGGUAAACCACUCCUAAUGAGCUAUUACAGUAUUAUAUGAAAAGAAAAAUGGGUGUUAUGGGGGGAAAUAGUUUACCCUAUAUCGUAGGAAGAAAACCAAGGAGUCCGAAUAUCAUUGGUAAUCAUACAACAUCUCCUCAAUUUGAUUUUAAAGUCACAUCGUGAUUACACAUAAAUUGACAGUAUUACUCUCAUUGACAUAUUUUUAGAGAAACAUUUUAUUAGCAUUAAGGUUGAUAAUCCGUUAAGAGUCUGAAUUAUAUUUUGUUAUUUUGAAUGUAUCAAGAACAAUGUGAUUUUUUUAGAAUCAAGGUAUUUUGUCUUUAAAUCGGAAGCAUUACAAAGAUGCUUUUCAGUGCCAGGUACCAAAAAACGAUGCUGCAAAGAAGGAAAUUAAUUUUGCAAUCUGUAAAUGGCUUGAUUAUCAAGAAUAUAAGAAUAAAAGAAAGUAGAAAUUAGCAUGCCGCAAAUGUUGCAUAGUCGAUUAAGCAACAUUACAUGAAGGGAACAUAAUUGAUAAAUUUUUCAGUAUUGGCUCUUCUUUAUUUUGUGAAAAUAAAUAAAAGUAUGUUCAGCGUUAUUUAAAACACUCCUUACAAUAAUUCGAUUUUACUAACAAAUAAUAAAGUGUUAGCAAGACCAUAAAAUUAGUUUUAUAAUCGAUGAUGAAAAUAUAUUGUUUAAAGCAUUGUACGGUUUUUUAAAUUGCAGUUCCUGUUUUCAACAAAUCGAGUUGAGCAUAUUAACCUUUUUCGUUUGCUUAUUCAGUUGGAGUAUAACAUUUGAAUUUUAAAUAUAGAUUCACUUGAUAGGAAUACAUAUUUUGAAAUUUGUUAAAUAAUUUAGUGUUUAUGAUAUUGAUUUGCAUCGAACUUUGUCUUUUGACAUUACAGCUAAAAUCGAUCUCCGAUGUUAGUCGUAUGUUAUGUCUACAUUCUUCACUCUUGAACAAAGCUAUGAUUUUUUAAAUGCAAAACUACAGUCAAGAUGCGUCAUUUAUAGACAAAUAAGUGUCAGUGAACGUACAUGUCAAAACAACUAGUCCCAUCCUUUUGAACGUCAAUAAUCUGAAUUAUAAAUGAUUAAAUUGGAAAUUUUGCUUAAGAUACUGUGUUCCAACCGGUUAUUCAAAAUAACCUGCUUACAUUUGUCCGUUAUAUAUUAUUAUGUCGAGCAAUGGUGUAUAUUUUUUUAGUAUCUGAACUUUUUUUCUUGGGCAUGGCUGAGUAAAAUUGAGUUUCAAGCAAACAUUAGCUUAAUAUAUAUUAGAAUAACUGCGACAUUAAUAUUUAGACGGGAUUCAUGAUUUGUAUAUAACUUUACGUUAACCUUUCCAGCUGCAAGUUCUUUUAAGGAGUAGGGGUUUAUCUAAGUUUCACAAUUAUGUGUAAGGAAAAAAUGAAUAAACUCCAAAGAUGUAACUCUAACUAAAGGAACAAGUUUUUUUCUUAAGUUAUCCUACAACUAAGCCUUCCAGAUGUUUUCCCUCUAAUAUAAUCAAAUUGUCCUUCUUACUUUAAGCGGUUUUUAACUCAUCAGUUAAUUUUGCUACUGAAAGACAUUAAUCGUACCUAUAUAUAUGAUCGAAGUAGCAAGACGUGCUUAUCAAUCACGCAACAAUAUUUACAAUUUUUCUCAUUGUCAAGCUUCAAUACCCCCAACUAGCUUUCUAUAUUUUAAAAUUGCUGUAAAUUUUGUUGGUUCAGAGCGUUAUGUUUAGCAAAUACGAGUACAUCUUCUGUCAUGAAUAACACAUUUUUCGUCAGGGGUAAUUGUUUUGGUCGCUCUCCCACCCGUAACAUAUAACAAGGAUGUCCGUGAAAAAAUGACUGUAAUUUGUAAAGGAUAACCGUAAUUUAUAAAGGGUUGCCGUAACUUUUAAAGGAUGACCGUCAAUUUUAAGAAUAUCCGUAUUUGUAUUCAGAUCUUUUUGCUGAGUUUGUCUCGGUUAGCGAAUAUAAAUAUGUCUAAUCAAUUUCUUUUUAACUAUUUGCUGUAUUUUGAAUUCAUGACAAUGUUGUAUACACAGAGAAACAAGUUGUCAGUAAGCUGGAGUCUCUUAUUGACAACAUUUUUGUUGAAUUUAGAGGUAGACCACUUUUUUAAAUUGUCGGCAUUCCUAUGAGAAUGAUAACUGUGCCUCUCCAUGCGGACUUCUUCUUCCUUUCGUAACGUUUGGAGUUGCUUUAGACACUUGUGAAAAACAAAAAGAUCAAAGAACUCAGAUCAUUUAAUUUCACAUUCAGAUAUAAAUUGAUGAUGUUCUUUCUUUUAACUAUCCAAACUUCUCCGAUUGGAUUCCAUUUAUAUUUCCUCCAUUGCUAGAAAUUAAAGAAACAACAAACACGGCUUUCUCUGUCUAAUGUUUAGACUUUUACAACAAAUUUGGCAUAAGCGGUUAUCUCAGUACAAGAAUCUAUAACAAACGAAACGAUUUUAAUUUUUGAAAAUUAUCAAUUUCUCCCACCUUAGAAGCAAUAUACCAACUGCACCUACAUGUGGAAUUAUCAUUUCCCAAUCCAUUUGGUUUCCAAAAACGUAUUGCAUCUGCCACUCAGACUUUGUUAAUCGUCACCAGUGUCUGAGAAGAAAGUUGAUGAAGAAGGUGUAUGCAAGAAAAAGUCUAGUAUUUUUUUUUUCUAAAAAAGGGAAGAUACCAAGACCUUGUUGAUAAAUAUGUAUUCAAAUAUCAUCUUCACAAAUAUUACACGAUAGUAUUGAAGUCUAUAUUCUAGGUACUGACGUUGUUUAUCAUCUCAAUAACAUUUUAUAUUAUUUUUUUAUUUGUCUUUGUUAAUUAUUGCUUUAAAUGUCUAUCCGAUUUUUGGUAAUAUAUACAAAAAGAAGAUGUGGUAUGAUUGCCAAUGAGACAACUAUCCACAAAAGACCAAAAUGACACAGACAUUAACAACUAUAGGUCACCGUACGGCCUUCAACAAUGAGCAAAGCCCAUACCGCAUAGUCAGCUAUAAUAGGCCCCGAUAAGACAAUGUAAAAACAAUUCAAACGAGAAAACUAACGGCCUUAUUUAUGUAAAAAAAAUGAACGAAAAACAAAUAUGUAACACAUAAACAAACGACAACCACUAAAUUACAGGCUCCUGACUUGGGACAGGCACAUACAUAAAUAAUGUGGCAGGGUUAAACAUGUUAGCGGGAUUCCAAUUUCCAUACCCAUUUGACGUUGUUUGGUACUUCCACAUGUGAUAAGGUUACUUUUUGUAUUCUUGUCUUUCAUGUUUGAUAAUGUGCUAUAUAAGCCUUUAUUUUCCUUUGUUGACAUAGCUGUUGUUUUAUAGUGAUUAAGACUAUUACCACAAUGUUUACUGCUGUACCCCUAUUUUUGACAUGCUUACCUAUUACAGUUUAUUUGUCAUAAGAGUAACAUGAUUAGGUAGCUAUAAAACCAGGUUGUGUCCACCAUUUUUCUAUAUAAUUAAAUGACUAUACCAAUUCAGGAAUAUGAUAUUUGUUAUCCAUUCGUUUGAUGUGUUUGAGCUUUUGAUUUUGCUUUUUGGUUUGGAACUUUAAGUUUUUAAUUUUCUUUGGAGUUCGUUAUUUUUGUUCUUUCACUUUUUUUUUUAAAUACAGGAGCCUUUAAUUCAGUGAUUGUCAUUUGUUGAUCAGUUACAUAUUUGUUUUUCGGGUUUGUUUUUUGGGGGGGAAAUUAAUUAGGCCGUUAGUUUUCUCGUUUGAAUUGUUUAACAUUUGGCAUUUUGAGGCCUUUUACAGCUGACUAUGCAGUAUGGGCUUUGCUCAUUGUUGAAGGCUGUACGGUGACCGAUAGUUGUAAAUUUCUGUGUCAUUUGGUCUCUUGUGGAGAGUUGUCUCAUUGGCAAUUAUACCAAAUCUUCUUUUUUUUAUAUUUAAAUAACACACUUUUAUUUAAGUGUAAUUGAUUCACGAGGGAUUUAUUAUUUCAAUGCGCGAAACUGUUUUAUUUCAAAAUCGAUAUGUAUCAUACCUGUUCGAAUUAAAAAUAUAAAGAUAUAACGCAAACAAUCCAAUAAAUGACAAAUAAUUAAUGAAAGAAGAAAUUAAAAGAAUUCUCUUGAGCAAAUUAAAAACUAAGCAUUGGAACCUGAAAAGGCAGUAAAAACUAUUAUACUCUCGACACUGAAAUGUUCUUUUGUGGCUUUCUGAUGUAAAGAUUAAUAAUUCAUUGACAUGUUGUAGUUACAUGAACAUUGCAUUAUAAUUAUUUAAUGAUUUUUGUUUUAAAACUUUUAGCCAUUCGCAGUUACUUUAGUUACUAAAAUAGUUUUCAAUUAGUUAAAAUAUUAGCAUUUUUUAAAAGGAAGACAAUUACAGAUUGCAUGUGUACAUGUAAAAAAGUAUAAGCUCAAAGUACGAAUGAAAACGACAUACCUUUAAAGUUAUAUGAAACCUCAAAUUAAAAAAAAAUGAUUCCUAUGGAUUUUUUUGUAACAAAAUGGAUAGUUUUCACUCUUUAACUUAUGUACAUAUACUUUUGUCUGAAGAAAAUUCUUUAAUUUGUCCACAUUUAGAAGAAGUUUACUUUUUUUAAUUGCUUGAAGGAUGCAAUUCGCCGACAUAUUUUCCGUAUGCUUAGUCACCUUAGCGUGACCGUUUUCGUACAAAUGCGGUGAUUGCAAUACGCAUGGAUCUGUCACUAACUCAACUUUCAUCUGAUAGGACUUGUUAAACGUGUGCUCAAUAUCCACGCUUCUUUGUUGAUGUUUACUAUAAGAUGACAAUCGGUAAAUUUCGGUUUAAAACACAACAAGUAAUGAGCUGCCAUAUUUUCACAUCAUAACAAGCAGAGAGAGAAAAAAAAUGAUAUGCUGGAAAAGAUGGGUGACACACACCAAAGUGGCUUUCAAACUCAAUGGUCCAAAAGAAAUUGACAACGACCUGGCAAAUUUAAGUCAAUAACAUGGAUAAUUUUAAAAAUAAAGACAGUUUGUUAAUUUCUAAAAUAAUUAAGCUCGAGUCGUAAAAUAUAUUAAGAAACGGCUGCAAAGAAAGUGUAAAUCAAUCUGAAAAAGAAAGACACAUAUUAAAGAGCUAUAUGCCUUUAAUGAAAAAAUGAUAAUAGAAUUCACAAAGUCAUGUUUAGUAAAAACAAAAAUGAAUAUAAAAAUUCAAAUAAAAAAAAGACGGACGAUUCCAAAGGAAGGAUAAAAGAUUAUAAAGCGAAGAGAAAGAGACAAAACCAUUGCAAACAAGUGAAACUGUGAGCUACUGCUCACUGAUGAUACCCCGCCGAAAUAUUUAGGUAAACAGGGCGUUCUUAAGUAGUGACUCUGGAAACGCAUCAAACGGUAAAGCUGCCUUAUAUAAACCCUGAAAACAAAUUUCAGGAUUCUUUGUAUUGUAGUUCCUGAGGAAAAUGUGACGAAUAUUUUUAUGUGACGAACUAACUGACGGAUGGACUGACGGAUGGACAGACAGAGGUAAAACAGUAUAACCCCACUUUUAUACAGGGGUAUAAUAAACGAAAAGCUAAGGCAACGAACAACAGUCUACAAAGCACAGAUAAGUUAAACAAAAAAACUAAAAGUGUCUUGUGUGGAAGUUUUAUGCAAUAAUCAUAAAUAGUUUCUGAGAAAGUUUUAAGCAAUUACCAUUUAUUGCUUUUGAGACACGGCGGGACAUGUGAAACCGUUAGUUUUCUCGUUUGAAUUGUUUUACAUUGUUUUAUCGGGGCAUUUUAUAGCUGACUAUGCGGUAUGGGCUUUGCUCAUUGUUGAAGGCCGUACGGUUACCUAUAGUUGUUAAUGUCUGUGUCAUUUUGGUCUUUUGUGGAUAGUUGUCUCAUUGGCAAUCAUACCACAUCUUCGUUUUUAUAUUGAACAACAGCUUUUUUCCAUGGUGUCUAGUUUAGUUAUUAAUGCAGUUUAUUUUAUUAAAAAACAAUGUAUAAUAUAAAAGAGUAUAUAAAGCAACUUAAUAAAUUUUAAAAAUAACACCUUAGCUUUGAUAAACUAAGAAUUUUGAUCUAAUCAUGAAAAAAAAAAUGCCAUAGAAAUUCUUGAUAACCUUUUAAAAAAAAGAAAUGUGUUCCAAAAUUACAUUAAAAAAAUAUUUCAAUUAAAUCUAAAUAUUUUUUGUAAAAAUUAGAGACAUGACAUAUAAGAAGCACUUUCAUAAGCUUAAUUACCUCAGUGCAUGUGUGUUUUACAGGUGAAAAGAAAGCCCUUAUUUUCUUAAACUCGUGUAUAAACAAUACAACGUCAAUGCGAAUAUAAAUUUAACUCUUCAAAUGCAGUGACACUCAUAUUAACAUUACACAGAAGAGUAAAAACGAUUCAAAACAUUAUGUGUAUGCAUUCUUUGGUGCACUAAUGUUUUAUAUUUGCGUUAGGUUGUUAUCCCUUAAUAAAACUGCUGACUAUCACAAAGAUCAGAACCAUCAUUUGUUUUCAACACUUACUUAGUUUAAACAAUAUCACCCCGUAUAACCCCGAUACAAAUGAAUCCGGACGUUGACGCGUUUGAAGCGAUAAUCAAGACAACAUUUGGAAUGACAACGAUUUCAAAUGCCUCUCUAGGAUAUUUGAGUAUAUUAUAAAUAUGUCAAUGUGCAUGUUAGUUUAUUUAUUCAAUUAUACAGUUGUUGUCAGUUUUAGAUAUUUCAUAGCGUUUGAUAAAACUGCUACAUGCAAAACGCACAGACAUGGUGCAAUUUCGUACGUUUUAUGAGAUAAACAAUUGCUGAAUAUCUUUUCGUGCAUACUUUUUUACGUAUUAACUUUAACAAUAAUAUACUAUACGUAAUUUUAACUACGUGCUUAAAAUUGUUUCCCUAGAAUUUAGAAAUAAAACGCAAUAUCAUACCAAAUAAUUUUUUCUCUUACCUGUAUUGGUUCGUUCCACCAAAUGUGUCGCGUUCGUUUGUGCGUUUUAAAUAAUCACUGUACAGUUCGUUGAACAAAACCGUCACAAAUUACUUCUUCGGUCGACCCUUUUUCUGUAUUUUAUUGUAAAUGUUUAUCUGUUAACUUGUCAAAGGUAGUUUGAACUAAAAUAUCAGUCAUCAAAGCCAAAAUUUUGCAAUGUUUAACCACCGUACAAUCUGAUAGGAAUGUUUCUAUUGAAAAUUGGGACUUUCAACGUUAUUCAGAUGAAUUACAGUUAAAAAUAUAUUCCAGAGGAAAUAAGUUUCAAAAGUAUAAUAUAGUCAAUAAAACUUUAAUGACUUACUUUCAAAUUUCUUCCAAAUGCCGAUGUUGGUUCAAAUUCGCCUAGACGAAAGCAGACAUAGGAGCUCGUUAAAUUUACUGUGUCGAAUGCUUAGAUGGCAUUCCAACUGCUUUAUUUUUUUAUCUAUUUUUUUUUACAUACAAGCUUUGUAGAUGUUGUGUGAUGGCAGUGAGACAACUUUCCACCAAAGUUUAAAUGAAGUGUGUGUAUAAAGCAAUUAUUAUAGUCCAAUGUACAACAUUUAACAAUGAGAAAACCUAUACCAUAUAGUCGGCUAAAAAGGCCCCGAUAUAAAAAAAAAUCUAUAUAACAAAUGUACUACAGGCUCCUGACGUUGACCGAAUCACAAAAAAAUUGCGGCGGGGAUUUAAAACAACCCCACCUCUCCUUAAUCUGGUCACUGGUGUUACAGCACAACAUGAUAAAAAAAACUGUACAGUUGCAAUGGCUCAACUCAAAUGUCGGUACAAGGCACAAAACCAUAUACAUAAAAUAUCGAAAAAGGAGUAAUUGUAGUACUGAUAUUAUUUCAAAGCGAAUUGUUACUUAAGAGGUAAAUCAUGUUCUAAAGUAUAAUUAGCCAGUAUAUAUAUCCAACGGUUUUAGGUAAAGACGUAAUAAACGUAUGAACUUUUGCAAUGCCAAAUAUAAGUUACAGAUUUAACAGGUACAGCAAAACUUUCUACAUUGUAGCCAAAUUUUAUUUAUUUUUUUUAUGAAAGAAUUUGGUUAAGGGUGACUGGGAAAUAUACUAUUAGGUAUGGUCACUUUGGUCUUUUUCCGACCGACAGUAAAACCUGACCGACGUUGGCCACCCGUUUAGUUGCGAGGGAUGUAAAUGUACACAGUCACGUCUAGUCCGAAUGGGAAUAUAAGAUCCGAUGUCUCGUGUAGAGAGAGCACUACACUGUACAAACCCUUGCAAAACCUUUAUAAGAGGUCCAUAAAUGGCCUGUUGAAAAGCAACAUUUGUGUCCUUAUUCAAUAUACCUCAUUUUAUCCAGUGACAGUACAUUUUUUUAUUGAUAACUAUUAAGACAUGUAAGAAGAAUCAAAGCAAAUGUCUAAGGUUGAGUUGAUGAUUGAUGCUUUUUACUGCCGUCCUUGACAGGACCAUUCCCGAUUAAAAUUUGACAAAUGUCUGAUCAAGAUCCUGUAAAUCGUGGAUGGAAAUUCAAACUUUAAUUAAAAUUUAAAAUUUGUGUAAACAAAUUUUUCUUAAUCACGACAACAAUCAGAUAUUAUUCAGGAAGCGUCGAUAUUCAACCGUUUCCAAGCGAAUUUGUCCCGAUAAUCCAGUUCUCAAUCCGAUUCUAAUCCGAUUUGUAUCUUUCGCAUGGUAAAAUUCGACCGAGUCUGUCACGACUGCGUCCAGAUUAUACCGAAUGUAAUCCGACAGAGUUCAGACAGUGACCAAACAGUGAACUGACGCUGACGGAAGUUAUCCGUUAGAAAAUUGUCGUCAUAUUCGGGAUAAUCAGGUACUGUCGGAACGUAAUCCUAUCAUGGUCCACUCUAUUGCAUUGCAAACGGCUUUGUCUGGUCUCAGUCGUAUUGCUUUCUGUAAUUGUCGGGACUCUGACAUGGGUAUCAUUGAUGAAUUUCGUAUUAAUAACGGGACUGUUCCGGAACGGUUUCGACAAAGAGGGUUAGCAAUCUGGACUCAAUCGGCAGAAAAACAGCAAAGAAAAAUUUCUCCAGAUCAUUCCCGUUCCACAGAACACCGUCCAGAAAACACAGAACCUUGUUAGGAUUUUGAUCCGAUACAGCAGAAUCUGUCACGACAUAGUCACGAUUGUAAUCCGACUUGACAAAAUCGGCUGAGUUUCCCUGAAUGUUACGGGACGCACCUAACUGUCGGGGUACUUCGCCGAACUACCAGGACCCUUCCCGACCCGUAGGAAUCUGAUUCGAAUCUGUUACGAAUUUAAAAGACUGAGUUUAGACAAUGUCUUAUCGCUGUCUGAUCUCAAACGGGAGCAAUAAUCGGCAAUGUGUGAACGCCGCAUUAUGCCUUAAAAAUUAAAAAAAAAACAUAAUUGAAGAAAGCAAACAAGUUAAUAGCAAGAAUUAUCUCUUCAUCUUUAUACCUUCACAUUAAAAAAACUGUAUUACUAUUGAAGGCUUUAAGUUACAUGUUCAUUGUAUACACAUAUUCUUUAGCCUUAAUGUAACUGUAUUGUAAUCUAUGACCCCUAUGGUCUCGCCUCUGAGAUUCAAACCUAAAGCCUAUAAUCCAUUUAUUGUUUUUGAUUGCUGUCUAUAUAAAAAAAGAAGAUGUGGUAUCGAGACAACUGUUCGCAAGAGACCAAACGACACAAAAAUGAACAACUAUAGGUCACCGUAUGGCCUUCAACAAUGAACAAAGUCCAUACCGCAUAGUCAGCUCUUAAACACACCGAAAUGUCAAAUGUAAACUAACGGCCUAUUUUACGCACAAAAUAGUGAACAAAAAAUAAUUAUAACCACUGACUUACACGCUCCUGACUUUGGACAGGCAGAUACAGAAUAUGGCGUGAUUAAACACGUUAGCGGGCACCCAACCCACGCCCUAACCGUACAUUGAAUGUCGUAUGGUAAACACUUUUAAAAUGCCAUCAAAUUAGAAAUCGGACGUGUAUAUAUGUAUGCUUAGUCAUAUUUGCAUCUGUUAAGUUGUAUUUUCUACAAUUAGACUUUCGAAUAUACAUAAGAUUGUUUUUACAUGAACAAAAUACGCAUCAAAGAUCGUUUCAACAAUACAACGGAUAUAUGGGUUGCUGUCUGCAUUUAUGGUUGUAAAUUAUUUUUUUCAAACAUGCAUAUUGGUUAUAAUCAUAUCAAAGCAUAAUUAAUACAUGCAAAAUUCAUUGAGAAACGCAAUAAUUGUGUCAACGAAGCGUACAGUAUAAAAGUAUGUAAUGACAACGAAGCGUACACACAUGAAAAUAAUACACUUUAAAACGUGUACUUUUGUGUUUCUAGAUACAACAUAACAUACGAUCUUAUAAGUCUGUUAAUUUUAAACUAUGACAUUUUCAAAAAUGUAUGUUUUAAAAACUAUGAGAUACGAAGAAAUUAAGUUUUGAAUAUUUAAAAAUACCAAGCACGUUUUAUCAUUGAUAUGUCGUGCGUUUUUUUAUGUUUGUAUAUAAAAAUGUCACAUCUUUCAAAAACCUUUUAGUAACUAAUGAGUAUUAUGGGAAAGAAUAUAUUGGAGCAAAAUAUCCGAGAAUAGAUAUUGGAUUUUCUUUAAGAAUAUGAAUUUCUAACUGUCCGAACUCAGGGUGUGUUUGAUUCGAACGCGUCAUACGUCCGGUUUAUGCUUGUAUCGGGGUUAUACGGGGAUUAUAUUUCAAAAGUGUACAACAAAUACAAUUAUACAAUAUACAUACUGGGAUUCGGAAACAAGAAAAACUUAUAUAAAUCCGUUUCCAUUACUUGCACUUACUUACCUCAAUUCAACCAAAGUAUCGGAAUUAUUGCUACAUGUAUAUGAACAGUAAAAUACAAUUAAUAUGUAUAUUUAUAUGCAUACUUACAUUCUGGAGAAUAUAUGCAUGUCCAAGAUCAUUUAAAUAAAUAAAAUGAACAAUAUAUAAGGUUAAGGAUUAAUCACUUUGUGUACCUUACAUAAUAAAUGUAGCAUGUAGAAUGUAGUUAAAAUAAAAAGACUUAUGACUAAUUAAGCAUAGUAAAAACUUACUAUAAUCAUAGCUGUUCUGUCCUAACGGAAAUUAUAUGUAUGGAACAUAAAUAUGAAUCUAAAAUCAUUAAAAUGUUUCCUAAUUUCGUAUAGAUGUAUACUGAUUUCGACUUUGUCCUGCACAGCUACUUUUGCAUAAAUACUAUUUUUAUACCAAAAAUAUGUAGUACCCGAAAUCUACUUUUAAUAUUCAGUACUAUUUUGUUACUUUAAAAUUAUUGUAAUAUUUAGGUACCUGUAUUUUAUAGAACAUGAUUUGUACUUGAAAUUUAAGUACUACAGAUUUUUGGUUGCACGCUUACAUUUUCAGCAUUUUGAAAGUUUGUCAUUUUCAAAUCUCAUAAAGUUAUGAUGUUCAAACAUGGAAUUCUGUGCUCAUUGUUGAUAUUAUUUUUAUACCAAUAUUUUAAGUACAAAUCAAGUACUAGAAAAUACAAGUACCUAAAUAUCAAAAUAAUUCUAAGUAAAGAAAUAGUACUAAAUAUUAAAAGUAAAUUUCCAGUACUACAGAUUUUGAAAGUACAGAAAUAGUACUUAUGCAAAGUAGCUGUGUAAAUCUAUUUAAUGGAUAUCAGUUUUCUCAAUUGAAAACCUUGUACUUCGCAAGUUUCCAGUAUAUUAUAUUCUAGUUGUUAGUUUACACAUAUUUAUUUAUAGUGGAUUGGGAAAUAAGUGAUUAAAAAUUAUUUGUUUACAAUAUUGUUACUGGAACAUGCAACUUUCAAAAGUACAUUGUACUAGUUGUUAUUCCUAUUAUAUUCAUCGUUUGUACUUUUUCCUUGUAGUAUCAUCGUAUUUCUGGAAAGAAAUCUUCAAAGCGAAAAGUCAGACUGGUAUGAAAGUUUUUGAUUUUUGGAGAAUGACAAAUUUACACUGUGGAUUGCCAAAUAACCUCUACAGACAUGACUAUAUUGACAGAAUCAACAAGAC
Molecule: long non-coding RNA, 16953 nt
Filed under: Mytilus galloprovincialis (Mediterranean mussel)
Lineage: Eukaryota; Metazoa; Mollusca; Bivalvia; Mytilida; Mytilidae
Source: RNAcentral